This 393-nucleotide ribosomal RNA is filed under the name uncultured bacterium. RNAcentral describes it as "bacterial SSU rRNA". It matches the Rfam family "Bacterial small subunit ribosomal RNA", at positions 29 to 420 of the family's 1533-position model. The record is from RNAcentral.
AUUGAACGCUGGCGGCAUGCUUUACACAUGCAAGUCGAACGGCAGCGGGGGCUUCGGCCUGCCGGCGAGUGGCGAACGGGUGAGUAAUGCAUCGGAACGUGCCCAUGUCGUGGGGGAUAACGUAGCGAAAGCUACGCUAAUACCGCAUACGCCCUGAGGGGGAAAGCGGGGGAUUCUUCGGAACCUCGCGCGAUUGGAGCGGCCGAUGUCGGAUUAGCUAGUAGGUAGGGUAAAGGCCUACCAAGGCGACGAUCCGUAGCUGGUCUGAGAGGACGACCAGCCACACUGGAACUGAGACACGGUCCAGACUCCUACGGGAGGCAGCAGUGGGGAAUUUUGGACAAUGGGGGCAACCCUGAUCCAGCCAUUCCGCGUGAGUGAAGAAGGCCUCGG